GACGAACGCUGGCGGCGUGCUUAACACAUGCAAGUCGAGCGGUAAGGCCCUUUCGGGGUACGACGAGCGGCGAACGGGUGAGUAACACGUGGGUGACCUGCCCUCAGCUCUGGGAUAAGCCUGGGAAACCGGGUACUAAUACUGGAUAUGACUCCAUGACGCAUGUUGUGGGGUGGAAAGCCUUGUGCGGCUGAGGAUGGGCCCGCGGCCUAUCAGCUUGUUGGUGGGGUGANGGCCUACCAAGGCGACGACGGGUAGCCGGCCUGAGAGGGCGACCGGCCACACUGGGACUGAGACACGGCCCAGACUCCUACGGGAGGCAGCAGUGGGGAAUCUUGCGCAAUGGGCGAAAGCCUGACGCAGCGACGCCGCGUGA
This 376-nucleotide ribosomal RNA is filed under the name uncultured bacterium. RNAcentral's name for it is "bacterial SSU rRNA". It matches the Rfam family "Bacterial small subunit ribosomal RNA", at positions 28 to 404 of the family's 1533-position model. The record is from RNAcentral.